Molecule: transfer RNA, 73 nt
Filed under: Deferribacteraceae bacterium
Lineage: Bacteria; Pseudomonadati; Deferribacterota; Deferribacteres; Deferribacterales; Deferribacteraceae
Description: tRNA-Pro
Rfam family: tRNA
About the family: Transfer RNA (tRNA) molecules are approximately 80 nucleotides in length. Their secondary structure includes four short double-helical elements and three loops (D, anti-codon, and T loops). Further hydrogen bonds mediate the characteristic L-shaped molecular structure. tRNAs have two regions of fundamental functional importance: the anti-codon, which is responsible for specific mRNA codon recognition, and the 3' end, to which the tRNAs corresponding amino acid is attached (by aminoacyl-tRNA synthetases). tRNAs cope with the degeneracy of the genetic code in two manners: having more than one tRNA (with a specific anti-codon) for a particular amino acid; and 'wobble' base-pairing, i.e. permitting non-standard base-pairing at the 3rd anti-codon position.
Source: RNAcentral
GUGGGUAUAGCUCAAGUGGUAGAGUACGUGCUUUGGGAGCAUGUUGUUGCAGGUUCAAAUCCUGUUACCCGCA